This 530-nucleotide ribosomal RNA is filed under the name uncultured bacterium. RNAcentral describes it as "bacterial SSU rRNA". It matches the Rfam family "Bacterial small subunit ribosomal RNA", at positions 8 to 502 of the family's 1533-position model. The record is from RNAcentral.
AGAGUUUGAUCCUGGCUCAGGAUGAACGCUGGCGGCGUGCCUAACACAUGCAAGUCGAACGAGAAGCUAACUUCUGAUUCCUUCGGGAUGAUGAAGUUAGCAGAAAGUGGCGAACGGGUGAGUAACGCGUGGGUAAUCUACCCUGUUUAGUGGGGGAUAACCCUCCGAAAGGAGGGCUAAUACCGCAUAAUAUCUUCUCCUCUAAAGAGAAGAAGAUUAAAGAUGGCCUCUAUACUAUGCUAUCGCUUCAGGAUGAGCCCGCGUCCUAUUAGUUAGUUGGUGGGGUAACGGCUUACCAAGACAGCGAUGUCUAGGGGUUCUGAGAGGAUUUUCCCCCACACUGGUACUGAGACACGGACCAGACUCCUACGGGAGGCAGCAGUAAGGAAUAUUGGGCAAUGGACGAAAGUCUGACCCAGCCAUGCCGCGUGCAGGAUGACAGCCCUAUGGGUCGUAAACUGCUUUUAUAUGGGAAGAAACUCCACUACGUGUAGUGGACUGACGGUACCAUACGAAUAAGAUCGCUAACU